CCGCAGUAUUGUAAACUUUUCAUCUUGCUCCGUAGAUUAUCUUCAAUGUACGAAUGGUAUUUAAGAAGAAUUUGGAACCUAGAUCUGUGCCAGUGACCGUUAAAUACUUAGUUCGGGUGGUGUUUCAAAUUUGGGAAUUUUGUUUUUUCCUGAUACCCAUCAUAUGCCAUCUGACUUAUAUUAGAAUUUGAGCGUAUGACAAUGUGGACAUCUGCAAUUUAAUUAUUAGCGCUGUAAGUACUUUUC
RNAcentral lists this long non-coding RNA (246 nucleotides) under Drosophila guanche. The record is from RNAcentral. Lineage: Eukaryota; Metazoa; Arthropoda; Insecta; Diptera; Drosophilidae.